CAUUAUCAAGCACCAAGUAGAAGUUCCAGAUUGUAAAAACUUAUGCAGCAUGAAAUCUUAUAGCAAAAUACUCACAUCUAGCCAUGCAUUGGUCACCGGACCAAGACAACCAUUUGUAAUAUUUGUUCAGUUACUACAAAAGCUUACUAACUCAGCCAAAUAUAUAUAUAUAACUGUUUAGGCUAGACCGUAGGGGUGUUCGGUUCGGGGUUUGCCUAGGAACAGUAACCGAACUGAAAUUUCGGUACGG
RNAcentral lists this unclassified non-coding RNA (250 nucleotides) under Hevea brasiliensis (rubber tree). The record is from RNAcentral. Lineage: Eukaryota; Viridiplantae; Streptophyta; Magnoliopsida; Malpighiales; Euphorbiaceae.